RNAcentral lists this ribosomal RNA (489 nucleotides) under uncultured bacterium. RNAcentral describes it as "partial 16S ribosomal RNA". It matches the Rfam family "Bacterial small subunit ribosomal RNA", at positions 29 to 506 of the family's 1533-position model. The record is from RNAcentral.
AUUGAACGCUGGCGGCAUGCCUUACACAUGCAAGUCGAACGGCAUCGCGGGAAAGCUUGCUUUCCUGGCGGCGAGUGGCGAACGGGUGAGUAACACAUCGGAACGUACCGGCUAGUGGGGGAUAACCCGUCGAAAGACGGGCUAAUACCGCAUACGCUCUUCGGAGGAAAGCAGGGGACCUUUGGGCCUUGCGCUAGUCGAGCGGCCGAUGUCCGAUUAGCUAGUUGGUGGGGUAAAGGCCUACCAAGGCGACGAUCGGUAGCGGGUCUGAGAGGACGAUCCGCCACACUGGGACUGAGACACGGCCCAGACUCCUACGGGAGGCAGCAGUGGGGAAUCUUGGACAAUGGGGGCAACCCUGAUCCAGCAAUGCCGCGUGGGUGAAGAAGGCCUUCGGGUUGUAAAGCCCUUUCGGCAGGGAAGAAAUCGGCGGGGCGAAUCACCCUGCUGGAUGACGGUACCUGCAGAAGAAGCACCGGCUAACUACGU